CCUCUUCCCGGGUGCCUGUCUACCUUGACAGUGAGGAACAACAGGACAUCGUGUUUGCCUAUCUGAGAAGAGUACUGCAUAGGACACCAACACAACUGAGCUUCACAGAUGAAGUGCAGUUCAUCUGUGGUGUUCUUUUUCCAGAGGCCAUCAUAUAUGCCCUGGCUGUCCUACGGAGUUCAUCCUUGCAGGAGGCUGAGCAGGCCUUCCUUUCUGGUCCAGAUUAUCAUUACAGGAGUUGAAGCCUACAGCCAUUCUGUCCAUGCAGCAACUGAUGGAAAAGGGGGUCUGUUUUUU
Molecule: long non-coding RNA, 297 nt
Organism: Sinocyclocheilus rhinocerous
Lineage: Eukaryota; Metazoa; Chordata; Actinopteri; Cypriniformes; Cyprinidae
Exons: 3
Source: RefSeq, a predicted model, not a curated record